Molecule: small nucleolar RNA, 109 nt
Organism: Dioscorea cayenensis subsp. rotundata (Guinea yam)
Lineage: Eukaryota; Viridiplantae; Streptophyta; Magnoliopsida; Dioscoreales; Dioscoreaceae
Source: RefSeq, a predicted model, not a curated record
AACCCGUGUUGUGGACACUUCCAGUAAAAGGUCUUUGAAACGCUCCCAAGUUUCAAAUAAGGAUUCAAGCUCUAUCUCGAACAAACGAAGAUAUUUCAUUGCGAAAGCU